This 435-nucleotide ribosomal RNA is filed under the name uncultured bacterium. Its description in RNAcentral is "partial 16S ribosomal RNA". It matches the Rfam family "Bacterial small subunit ribosomal RNA", at positions 29 to 507 of the family's 1533-position model. The record is from RNAcentral.
AGCGAACGCUGGCGGCAGGCUUAACACAUGCAAGUCGAGCGGGCAUAGCAAUAUGUCAGCGGCAGACGGGUGAGUAACGCGUGGUAACGUACCUUUUGGUUCGGAACAACUGAGGGAAACUUCAGCUAAUACCGGAUAAGCCCUUACGGGGAAAGAUUUAUCGCCGAAAGAUCGGCCCGCGUCUGAUUAGCUAGUUGGUGAGGUAAUGGCUCACCUAGGCGACGAUCAGUAGCUGGUCUGAGAGGAUGAUCAGCCACAUUGGGACUGAGACACGGCCCAAGCUCCUACGGGAGGGAGCAGUGGGGAGUAUUGGGCAAUGGGCGCAGGCCUGGUACAGCCAUGCCGCGUGAGAGAUCAAGGCCCUAGGGUUGUAAAGCUCUUUUGUGCGGGAAGAUAAUGACGGUACCGAAAGAAUAAGCCCCGGCUAACUUCGUG